RNAcentral lists this long non-coding RNA (795 nucleotides) under Heterocephalus glaber (naked mole-rat). RNAcentral's name for it is "lncRNA (ENSHGLG00100051286.1)". Lineage: Eukaryota; Metazoa; Chordata; Mammalia; Rodentia; Bathyergidae. The record is from RNAcentral.
AGAAACAACAUCAAGGGCCUUUUGGAGACCAGGGGACAAGUGAGGGGAAAGCAGUGCCAGGUGGUGACUGCAUUCCCAGGGCUUUGGAGCCAACAGUGAAAACAGGACAGACAAGAAGCACCUGACUCCUGCUGUGCGGGCUGCAAGGUGGGGUGUGGCCCGUAGCCAUCCCACCUGGCCUUAGCCCCCUCUCUCCUGCUCAUCCCCAGGAGGGACUGGGACAGCCUGCCCAGCAGCCUCCCUCGUUAUGUCGUGACCGCCCUUCUCUGGAACUGACAGGACUGCGAUUCCCCACCAUUGGAAAAAUAGAUGAAAAAUGAGACCGGGUGCCUGCAGGCUGCCACCCUGGGGAAGCCAUGCGGAGGAUGACCCUGUGGAUCCGUGCAGUGCCGGCCAGCCCGGCUCCGUUUGGGGCGAGGCUGGGCAAGAAAUACUGAGGUCUCUAUGCCAGGGCUGCUGCUACAGCUCCCCCGCUCUCACCUCCUCCCGCCGGGCAUCUCCCCAGCUCAAGACGGAAGGGAAGGCAGUGGCCCAGGAUCCGUGGGCUUGGGCCACUACGGCCUCAUCAGCUGCUCCAUCAAGCUAAGACCUCAAUGGUCCCAUGAUGCUGUGAAGCUCCAGGGAAGGAUUGCAUGGCUGAAGACGUCCUGGUUCCUUAAGAACCAAGCAGUAAGAGAAAGGUUUCACCUGGGGAGGGACAGAUUCCUAAUCAACCUAAGCUCUUUGUCCCCCUAGGGUCUUCAUCUGCAUAAGUUCCUCAUUGUCCUAGGAUUAUUGCUGCCCUCUGAGUCACCU